UACGAAGGGGGCUAGCGUUGCUCGGAAUCACUGGGCGUAAAGGGCGCGUAGGCGGAUCUUUAAGUCGGGGGUGAAAGCCUGAGGCUCAACCUCAGAAUUGCCUUCGAUACUGGAGAUCUUGAGACCGGAAGAGGUGAGUGGAACUGCGAGUGUAGAGGUGAAAUUCGUAGAUAUUAGGAAGAACACCAGUGGCGAAGGCGGCUCACUGGUCCGGUACUGACGCUGAGGUGCGAAAGCGUGGGGAGCAAACAGG
This 253-nucleotide ribosomal RNA is filed under the name uncultured bacterium. RNAcentral describes it as "partial 16S ribosomal RNA". It matches the Rfam family "Bacterial small subunit ribosomal RNA", at positions 524 to 776 of the family's 1533-position model. The record is from RNAcentral.